This 460-nucleotide ribosomal RNA is filed under the name uncultured bacterium. RNAcentral describes it as "bacterial SSU rRNA". It matches the Rfam family "Bacterial small subunit ribosomal RNA", at positions 1 to 507 of the family's 1533-position model. The record is from RNAcentral.
UACGAUACGAGUUUGAUCAUGGCUCAGAACGAACGCUGGCGGCAGGCCUAACACAUGCAAGUCGAGCGAACCCUUCGGGGUUAGCGACGGACGGGUUGGUAACGCGUGGGAAUAUACCCUUUGGUACGGAAUAGCCUCGGGAAACUGAGAGUAAUACCGUAUGUGCCCUUCGGGGGAAAGAUUUAUCGCCAAAGGAUUAGCCCGCGUUGGAUUAGAUAGUUGGUGGGGUAAUGGCCUACCAAGUCUACGAUCCAUAGCUGGUUUGAGAGGAUGAUCAGCAACACUGGGACUGAGACACGGCCCAGACUCCUACGGGAGGCAGCAGUGGGGAAUCUUAGACAAUGGGCGCAAGCCUGAUCUAGCCAUGCCGCGUGGACGAUGAAGGCCUUAGGGUUGUAAAGUCCUUUCAGAUGGGAAGAUAAUGACGGUACCAUCAGAAGAAGCCCCGGCUAACUCCGUG